AUCACCCUUCAGGGACAUUUGAUAAAAUUGGAACAAUACAAAGAAGAUUAGCAGAGCCCUGUGCAAGGAUGACAUGCACAAAAUGAGAAAUUGUUCAAAUUUUG
Aegilops tauschii subsp. strangulata is the source of this 104-nucleotide small nuclear RNA. NCBI's taxonomy places the organism in Eukaryota, Viridiplantae, Streptophyta, Magnoliopsida, Poales, Poaceae. The record is from RefSeq and is a predicted model, not a curated record.